CAAGGGACGGCCUUUCCUACCCAUUUCUCUCUAGUCUCCUCCUUGUUUUUGGAUCCAUUCUCCUCUGCUGUGUGGCCGUUGCCCAUUACAAAAAUCUACCCACUAGUCUAAUUAACACGGGGGAACACUGCUCUUUUUACCCAUCUCCUAUCGGCUACCUCCCUCCUGGCCGUAGAUAUAGCGUUUUUUUUUUACACAAUAAAUUGUAUCUUGUCUCAGUCUUCAGCUUCUGGCAUAGAUAUACAGAGAGGAGGAACGGAGCUGUAGAUUCAAAAACUUCAUCAUGAUCAAACGGACACCAAGUAGAAACGCUAGAACCAGAGGCUUCAAGGUAAAGAAUGUUCUGCAGAUUUGUUUAUUGCUUGGUGUCUGUUUCUGGUUGAUCUACCAAGUCAAGCAUUCCCAUGAUAAGAAAAAGGAGUUUGAUGAGAAAGAGUCAAAAAUCUCUGUCAAAACUCAAAGUGGUGAUGGGAUUUCAAACUUGGGAAGGAAAGGCCUGCAUCCUCGCGUCCCGGAGUUACCUAAGGAUGAGAAACAUGAAGAAGAUGAUGAUGAAGGCACUAUAUUAGAGGAGGAAGUGAAUAAGAUGGAAGAAUAUAAGCGUGAACAAAAGCAAGUGGAAGAUGAAACUAAGCAUGAAGAAGAAGAAGAGCGAGAAGAAGAAGGAACUAAGCAUGAAGAAGAAGAGCGAGAAGAAGGCAGCAAGCAUGAAGAGGAAGAGAGAGAAGAAGAGGAAGAAGGAAGCAAGCAUGACAUGGAAGAGAGAGAAGAAGAAAGAAACAAGCUUGAAGAUGAGGAACAAGAAGAAGAAACCAAGAAUGAUGAGACAGAAGAUGAGAGGAGAGGAGGUGGCGCUGAUGAGAUAGAUGAACGUGAUCAAGAGAAAAUAGGAGAAGCUGAUCUUGAGGAGGAUUUUGUUGAUGAAGGGAAAGAGAGAGAGGAAGAAGGGGAGGAAAAGGAAAGUGGACAUGACGAAGCAGGAGAUAAGGAGGCUCAAGUGGAUGAUGAAACUUCAAUGGAGGAUCAAGAUCAUGAUGAAGGCGUGCAGAAUGAUCAUGAGGCUCGAGAAGAACAUUACAAGGCAGAUGAUGCUUCCAGUGCUGUUCAUGAUACCCAAACUAUAAGCACUGAACCUGAGAAAGUGAGUUCAGAGAACUUGGAAGCAAAUGAUUUAGAGCUGGAGAAGAAUUCCAACAACAAUAACACCAACGAUGUCAAUGGGGAUAAAAAAAACUCAAAAUCACAGCUUGGAGAAGGUGUAACGGCUGAGAAUGACUCUCAACUGAAUAUGAAAGGUGGUGAAAAGAUGGAUGAUGAGAUCAUCAACACCGAGGAUCAGUCAACCAAAAAUGCAACCAUUGUUCCUGUUUCAAAUGGCCAACCAGAGCUAAGCAAUAAUUCCAUGGAUGUAAAUACAGAAGCUGGCAAUGAGACUUCUAGUUCAUCCCAGCAUAAUGAAAUAGGAGUUACAUCUGAUUCAAAUCAAGCUCAAAAUGCAAAAAUUGCAACUGAGGAAGCAUCUAACCUGAAAACCACUGAAUUGGAACAGGUCAAUAGCAACACAAUUGCAGAUAGCGGAGAAACUGAUUCUAAUUCUUCUGUCCCUGAUAAAACUGAGAAUAUUGACAACAGUGCUAAAGAUUCAAAUUCAUCUACUAAUUCAGAGCCCAGUGGAUCAGAUAAGUUGAUUAAAAAUGAAGUUAAAGCUGAAGCAGAGGUCAAGCCUGAUGGAUCAGAUAAGGUCACUAAACCUGAAGUUAAAGCUGACGCUGAGGUCAAUUCUGGGUCAUCUUCAACAACGAAGGAGACAGCAGAUACGGCCAUGGAUGGGAACUCAGAUGCGAAGAAUGAAUUAGGUGGAACAGAAAAAAACAAAGGCUCUUCUGCAACAGAUGGGACUGAAGCUGUUUUUCAUGACCACAUUGAUUCUUCUGAUUCUUCAGUUGGCCAAGAAGAGGCCCGCAUAAAUCUGGAUACGCUGCCAGAGAAUAGCGGAGAUGGCAUUAAUAGCCGAGAUGUGGCUGCAGAAUGAGAAUUGUUACGAAAUGCCUCGUGAGUGACCUAAGUGUCUAGUUACUUGUUCGCUCUGUUUUGUUAAACACAGAGAGUUUUGGGUUUUUCAGGCAACUUUGAAAUAUGAUCUUAGGAAUACAGUUUUGGGCUUUUGGCAUUGCAGGCAAAUGUAGGUAGUUUGAUGCUAUUAAUGGUUGUAUCUGAGUAUAAUUUAUGGCAUACUUCUGUUGAUAUCCUUUUCUAACAUCUUUCUUUUUAGGUAUUUUUCUGAUGUUGGUUGGCUUGUUUAUUCGUCACCAAAACCAUGAAGUUUUAGUCCAAUUAUUAUUUGAUGCUGAACUCUUUCAAUUGGAAUGAUUUGUGUUCGAU
This 2382-nucleotide unclassified non-coding RNA is filed under the name Hevea brasiliensis (rubber tree). Lineage: Eukaryota; Viridiplantae; Streptophyta; Magnoliopsida; Malpighiales; Euphorbiaceae. The record is from RNAcentral.